Sapajus apella (tufted capuchin) is the source of this 3549-nucleotide RNA transcript. It is a transcript of the gene named transmembrane protein 273, with no coding region annotated. The record is from RefSeq and is a predicted model, not a curated record. The transcript is spliced from 4 exons. Lineage: Eukaryota; Metazoa; Chordata; Mammalia; Primates; Cebidae.
CGUGGGGCUUGUCCUGUCCCCGGAGUCUUGGGUCACAUGGCUCAUUGUGCCUGGCCUGCCAGGAGACAGGAGCAGAGCACCAGCAUGGACUCGGGAGUCAGCAUGCUGAGGAUCCUCUUCCUCCUGGAUGUAGGAGGAGCUCAAGUGCUGGCAACGGGCAAGCCCCCUGGGCCUGAAAUCGAUUUCAAGUAUGCCCUCAUCGGGACCGCUGUGGGCGUCGCCAUAACUGCCGGCUUCCUGGCCCUGAAGAUCUGCAUGAUCAGAAGGCACUUGUUUGACGACGACUCUUCCGACCUGAGAAGCCCGCCUGGGGGCCUCAGUGGUGAGGGAUGCGGUGCUCAGGCCUGGCUCUGCCCCACCCAGCAAGGCACCCAGGGCCACUCCCUGAUGCUGGCUACAGCAAGAAUGAACCCAUAAGGGCAGAGCCCAACAGGCUGAAAAGGAAGGGAGUGACAUCUCCGUAUCUCUGUCUCUCUCACUAUCCCUUUGCCUCGGUUUCUCUUUCUUCUGUCUCUCUAUUUGUGUUCCUUUUCCUGUCUCUCUAUCUCUGUCUCUCUGUCUUUCUCUGUCUGUUUCCCUCUGUACUUUUCCUUUCCAUUGCUCUUGGUAUUCCUGAGAAUCAUGUUUCCUGGAGAAAGGUGGGAGAGGAACUGAAAUUGGUGUCACACAGAAAUUUCUGUUCUCUCAUCCAAAUGAUGUGAUCAGAUGAACCCAGUCCCAGGAGGCAGCAAGUCCGGUCCUAAAUGUGGGUGGGAGGUGGGAGGUUCUGUUGACAAUGCCUGUGUGGGUCAAGAUGCAUUUUUUUUUUUCAUAAAUUGGGAAAGUCCUUCUCUGAACAGUACUGAGUAGCCCCUCAGAUAGAAACCAAGCUGGCUGACAUACACCGUGGCACAGCCCUCCGCCUCCUUGGCACCCGAAAUGCAGUAUUGAUUUGCACUCCUUCUCUCAGGGCGUCACCCCCAAACUCAUCCUCUGUUGUAUUAGACAGCUCAGCGCAAUGACAGCGCAGUUUUCCAUGGGGUGCUUCUGGGGAGGAAAGAACCCCACUGUCUUUCUGGAGGAUGUGAUUAUCAUCUUUGAGGUUAAGCAGAAGGGGCUGGUCUGGGCCAGGAGAGGAGGAAGCUUCCCAAAGUGCUGGCAUGUGCAUCACCCGAGGGGCUUAAUAGGUCAUGGGAGUUUGCUUAUCCUUGAGUUUGCUUAUCCUUUUGUAUCCCUGCAAUAAGGAGAGGGAACAGCCUCUUCACCACACAGCAGCCAGGCCCCAGAUCUCUUACCUGUGAAUGAGAGGACCCAGGAGGGAAAGGUGAAGGCUCUAGGGAACGCUCUACACCUCUCCUCACAGGACCUCCUUCCUAAUACCUGGCUUUCUCUGUUUAGACACUGACCCGCUAAAGAAGAGAGCCCCAAGAGAUGCACAGGUGAUUGAGCUGUAGGUGAGCAGCCGUGAGAAGAGGGGUCCAGCCCUGUGGACAAGGGCCUACAGUUACCAUCUCAGGAUGUUCUGCGUUUGAACACCCAAGUAAUGGUAAUAGACUUUCACAUGGACUGAAUAUUGGAGGAAAAUAAUAGAAGGAAUAGAAUCUACAGCGCCUUCGUCCUGAAGGAAAAUAUCAUUCCUCUUCUGCAAGAAGUGGACUACACAAAGGGAGGCUUGAGCACUUUCGCCUGCAGUAGGAAAAGAUGGACACCUCAAACUUCACCCUGUGUUAGAGCUGUUCAUGCUUCUGCAAGGGCAUGGUGUCCAUGUUCAUGGAACCUACCACAGAUAAUGGCUCAUGAAAAAGGGAAUGGGACCCAACAUAUAGCUUCCUACACACUGCCAUCUUAUUAACAGUUAGGCAGUACUUUGUUGAAUGAUUAGCUUCACCUUCUUAGCUGCCAGGAGAUCCCUUCUUAAAGAUUUGGGAGCCCUGAAACAUUGGGUCCCUGGGACAGUCUCCAUCCCUAUCGAUGAAUACUGGCCUCCUGGAGCAGAAAUGGCAGGCUGGGUUAGCACUGGAGGAAGGCCUUUGGUGUUCAUGGGAUGGGCCUGCUGCUCUCAGACAUUCAAAGGAUGGAGCUAAGGACGGACCAAAUGAGAAAGCAGAUGCCGUGCCUUGUAGAGGGCCAUGAAUGUAAGUUAUAAUUUUUCUCCUUAUAUAAUUAUUUUGUGGUUAUUAUUAGAAAGUGCAUGGCUGGUGCAUAAAAGACAUGACUGGUGGAGGCUCAGGAAAGCCACGUCAUUCUAAAAUUGCCACCAGGUUAAGGCCCCAUGAGCAUUUCUCUCCUUUGUAAUAUUAACCCUGUGUUUUGGGGGCCACAUCACGGAAUAUUCUUUGCCUUUCCAGUUUCCAGGAACUCUGUUGGAUUGGGCUGCCCUCCUUAUGUGUGAUGAAAGAUGAGCUAUAUUUCAGAACAAAGUGCUGUGUUGUCAUAAUUUGCCUGGACUCCCAGGGCAUCUCUUAUCUGACUUGAUAACGAUGCUGUUCAUUAGCAGCCUUUGUUAACUGAUAACCAAGAGUGGUAAUGUGAUACUCAUAAGCAAUUUUCUGUGUGUAAGAUAAAAUGAACCAUCUUGUAUGUGAUCUGCUAAUUGAUUUGCUUCCUUUAGCAGCAUUUUAAUUAAGACAUCUGGUUUGUGAAUGGCAGAAACACUUGUGACUGAAGGUGAAUGCUCCUGGACUCUCAGCCAUCAUUUUACCUUCUGUACACACAGCAAAACCAUGGUGUUCUCUCCCGGACCCCACCUCAUGACAUAUUUUCCCAACACCACCACUGGACUCUGGUUUUGUUUUAGCCCCACACAAGGUUUCCCAGGUGAAGAACAGAGAGGCUUAUGCUGAAGGCCAAUAUCCUCUCCUUGGGUCAUAAAGGCUGACAUCAUCUGGGAGGCAGAUGGGGAAGGGGCCCUGACAUUGAGGUCUCUCUGGCUUACUCUGCAUACCCAAGCUCAAUGGCUGCCUUCUGGAUGUCCUUCUAGGCCUAUUAGAAGAUCUCUGAAGCCCCCCUUGACAGCUCCUCUCCAUAAGAGCAGCUCCUGGGGACACAGGGUCCAAUGGGCAGUAGCUCUUGGAAGUGACUGAAAGGAGUCCUAACAAGUCAUUGGGUCUGCUGGCGCAGCCUCUUGAGUCAGGGCCAUUCCAGCAUGACUGCCUCACCCUGUAGUUUGACAAUAUGCUAGCAGAGGCCAGAGGCUGGACUAAGCCCCAUCCUCCCAGCCUUCUAAGUUCUGGGACCCCAGGACACAUACAGCUUCCCCCACCACAGCCCACAACAGCAUGGAGAAUACCAUGCCCGAAGGGAAGGGGACAAACACCAGGAGGAAGAGGCAUCCUGCAGGGGUGAAGCAGGUCACAGAUGGCUGCAGCCAGCCAGGAUCUAAUGAAGUGGCUGUGGUUUGAAGCCUCCAGGACUCCGUACGGGAAGGAGGGGAAGGUGAGAUGAGAAAGGGUCAUCUGGCAAGGCCAAUAAAUUAAAAAUCAUCUGUAGAAGUAUCAAUCUAUAUAUCUGUACAUUUAAAGUGUAUUUACCUCAAAUCUAUACAAAUUAAUACAUAAACAUGUAUAUGUA